UACGGGGGGGGCAAGCGUUGUUCGGAAUUACUGGGCGUAAAGGGCUCGUAGGCGGCCAACUAAGUCCGACGUGAAAUCCCCAGGCUUAACCUGGGAACUGCGUCGGAUACUGGAUGGCUUGAAUUCGGGAGAGGGAUGCAGAAUUCCAGGUGUAGCGGUGAAAUGCGUAGAUAUCAAGUGGAACACCAGUGGCGAAGGCGAGUCUCUGGACAAAACCUGACACUGAGGCACGAAAGCUAGGGGAGCAAACAGG
RNAcentral lists this ribosomal RNA (253 nucleotides) under uncultured bacterium. RNAcentral's name for it is "partial 16S ribosomal RNA". It matches the Rfam family "Bacterial small subunit ribosomal RNA", at positions 524 to 776 of the family's 1533-position model. The record is from RNAcentral.